This 447-nucleotide ribosomal RNA is filed under the name uncultured bacterium. RNAcentral describes it as "SSU rRNA". It matches the Rfam family "Bacterial small subunit ribosomal RNA", at positions 26 to 518 of the family's 1533-position model. The record is from RNAcentral.
AGAGCGAACGCUGGCGGCAGGCUUAACACAUGCAAGUCGAGCGGGCGUAGCAAUACGUCAGCGGCAGACGGGUGAGUAACGCGUGGGAACAUACCUUUUGGUUCGGAACAACACAGGGAAACUUGAGCUAAUACCGGAUACGCCCUUACGGGGAAAGAUUUAUUGCCGAAGGAACGGCCCGCGUCCGAUUAGCUAGUUGGUGAGGUAAUGGCUCACCAAGGCGACGAUCGGUAGCUGGUCUGAGAGGAUGACCAGCAUCACUGGGACUGAGACACGGCCCAGACUCCUACGGGAGGCAGCAGUGGGGAAUAUUGGACAAUGGGCGCAAGCCUGAUCCAGCCAUGCCGCGUGGAUGAUGAAGGCCUUAGGGUUGUAAAGUCCUUUUAACGGGGAAGAUAAUGACGGUACCCGUAGAAUAAGCCCGGCUAACUUCGUGCCAGCAGCCGC